This is a long non-coding RNA of Gasterosteus aculeatus aculeatus (three-spined stickleback), 674 nucleotides long. The record is from Ensembl. NCBI's taxonomy places the organism in Eukaryota, Metazoa, Chordata, Actinopteri, Perciformes, Gasterosteidae.
CUUAAUGAAUGUGGUGUUGUCUGAGGGGAGGAAACCAAGUAACAACUCAACAGAGAAACAGACAUGAGUUUCUAAAACGUUUCGGCGGAGGACACGUUUAAGAUGAUAAGAUGAUAAGAUAAAACGAAAAGACAGAAGCGAAAGCUAAAGCUAAUAGCAUCAAAGUCAAUCAAACACAGCAUAGCAUAGAAGUGCUACCGCCAGGUGAUAAAGCGCUAACACUAGUUUAAUGGUCUGCUAGUGUUUUCUCCACACUUUUUUUCUUUGCAACGGAACCUUUUUUCUAAGUCUGAAACGUCAGCUCGAAGGUCUUCAGAAAAGCACACGGUGGGACAGGAGGACAAGACACUCCACUCCAACUACCGAAACUAACGGGAAAAAGAGGACCAGUGAAAUGGUUUCAAAUCAGAGACACUGACAUUGCAGACUGUUCCUCUCUUCCAGCUGACUGGGAAGCUGCAGAGGGCGAGAGCUGCAUGUAAAAAGGUCCAAUAAUAUGAGGCGUAGUCGCCUCAUUACCGGCCGCUUCAUUUCCUCUCUCUGUCUCGUCGGGGCCCACUCAGGAGGAGAUGAAUGGCUCCCUCGGCCCCCUUGGGAAUGCGACCACUGAUGCCCCGCCGCAUUCCUCGAUUCCCAGCAUCCCUCUGCUGUUUCUACGGAAACACCACCAGCAG